UACGUAGGGGGCGAGCGUUAUCCGGAUUCACUGGGUGUAAAGGGAGCGUAGACGGCCAUGCAAGCCAGGGGUGAAAGCCCGGGGCCCAACCCCGGGACUGCCCUUGGAACUGCAUGGCUGGAGUGCGGGAGGGGCAGGCGGAAUUCCUGGUGUAGCGGUGAAAUGCGUAGAUAUCAGGAGGAACACCAGUGGCGAAGGCGGCCUACUGGACGGUGACUGACGCUGAGGCUCGAAAGCGUGGGGAGCAAACAGG
Molecule: ribosomal RNA, 253 nt
Filed under: uncultured bacterium
Lineage: Bacteria
Description: partial 16S ribosomal RNA
Rfam family: Bacterial small subunit ribosomal RNA
Source: RNAcentral